CUACAAUCUCCAUGGCGACGCUAGCACUAACCAAUCACACUUCGCGACAAAAGAUGACGGUGUCCGCGACAUGACAAGCUUCUCCAGCACUAACCUGCUGCCACACGAGGGAGCCAGAAACAAGACGGGCAGAGCAGGCUGCUGGUGAAAGUGUGCUGCCUGAAGGACUGAGGGUGAGAGAAGAAUAGUGAGGGCCUUUGAAAGGCGUAUAGCCAGCCACCAUCUCAUAGAUACUGCAGCCCAGGGCCCACCAGUCCACUGAUGUCCUGUAUGGAGUUUUGGUCAGGAGCUCUGGGGCCAUGUAUGCUCCAGUACCAGCCUGGCGGGGAGAAAGAAGAGAAGGGGGUAGAUUGAGAGGAGCAGUGAAACAGGUGAAUAUGAGAUGCAGAAUGCCAGUGGUGAUUUGCGCUGUAUAGUGGACGAUGCGCUUCAUCUCAAUGCCCUGGUCUGCACCCUUGCCGUCAU
Thunnus maccoyii (southern bluefin tuna) is the source of this 465-nucleotide long non-coding RNA. RefSeq lists it as uncharacterized. The transcript has 4 exons. NCBI's taxonomy places the organism in Eukaryota, Metazoa, Chordata, Actinopteri, Scombriformes, Scombridae. The record is from RefSeq and is a predicted model, not a curated record.